This 134-nucleotide small nuclear RNA is filed under the name Propithecus coquereli (Coquerel's sifaka). RNAcentral describes it as "U1 spliceosomal RNA (ENSPCOG00000006888.1)". It matches the Rfam family "U1 spliceosomal RNA", at positions 6 to 139 of the family's 166-position model. Rfam says of the family: U1 is a small nuclear RNA (snRNA) component of the spliceosome (involved in pre-mRNA splicing). Its 5' end forms complementary base pairs with the 5' splice junction, thus defining the 5' donor site of an intron. The record is from Rfam by way of RNAcentral. Lineage: Eukaryota; Metazoa; Chordata; Mammalia; Primates; Indriidae.
AUAUCUGGCAGGGGAGAUAACAUGAUCGCAAAGGUGGUUUUCCCAGGGUGAGGCUUAUCCAUUGCACUUAAGAUGUGCUGACCCCUUCAAUUUCCCCAAAUGUGGAAAACUCAACUUCAUAAUUUGUGNNNNNN